CCUACGGGUGGCUGCAGUGAGGAAUAUUGGUCAAUGGGCGCGACCCUGAACCAGCAAAGUAGCGUGAAGGAUGACUGCCCUACGGGUUGUAAACUUCUUUUAUAAAGGAGUAAAGUGAGGCACGUGUGCCUUUUUGAAUGUACUUUAUGAAUAAGGAUCGGCUAACUCUGUGCCAGCAGCCGCGGUAAUACGGAGGAUCCGAGCGUUAUCCGGAUUUAGUGGGGUUAAAGGGAGCGUAGAUGGGUUGUUAAGUCAGUUGUGAAAGUUUGCGGCUCAACCGUAAAAUUGCAAUUGAUACUGGCAGUCUUGAGUACAGUUGAGGUAGGCGGAAUUCGUGGUGUAGCGGUGAAAUGCUUAGAUAUCACGAAGAACUCCGAUUGCGAAGGCAGCCUACUAAACUGCCACUGACAUUGAUGCUCGAAAGUGUGGGUAUCAAACAGGAUUAGAUACCCGAGUAGUC
Molecule: ribosomal RNA, 460 nt
Filed under: uncultured bacterium
Lineage: Bacteria
Description: partial 16S ribosomal RNA
Rfam family: Bacterial small subunit ribosomal RNA
Source: RNAcentral